GGUCAGUAGGUUGGUCGUGCCACCGGUACGUACUGGUCUCACUGAUUCCUCCUUCCUGAAUAACCGUAAUGCCAUUAAUUUGGUGUUGCGGGGAAACAGGACUGUUACUUUGAAAAAAUUAGAGUGUUUAAAGCAAGCUAACGCUUGAAUACAUUAGCAUGGAAUAAUGAAAUAGGACGAUCGAUCCUAUUUUGUUGGUUUCUAGGAUUGACGUA
RNAcentral lists this ribosomal RNA (215 nucleotides) under Glomeromycotina sp. Its description in RNAcentral is "partial small subunit ribosomal RNA". The stretch from base 39 to 215 matches the Rfam family "Eukaryotic small subunit ribosomal RNA", at positions 686 to 864 of the family's 1831-position model. The record is from RNAcentral. Lineage: Eukaryota; Fungi; Glomeromycota.